This 1715-nucleotide unclassified non-coding RNA is filed under the name Hevea brasiliensis (rubber tree). Lineage: Eukaryota; Viridiplantae; Streptophyta; Magnoliopsida; Malpighiales; Euphorbiaceae. The record is from RNAcentral.
AAUAGGCUUCAGGAUCUAAUCACAAAGAUGCAAUUUUACUUGUUGGUUAUAGCCGUUUUCUAAAGUACAAUUAUUAUGGAAGAUCUUCUAUAUAUAAUAUAUAAGGAAGAUCAACUCCUGCGAGACAAGAGUGAGAAAUCUUUUCCAAGCUUUAUAAGGCCAUCAGAGUCGGAGGAAACGGGUCUUCCCUUCAAAAAUUGAGAGUACCAAUGUGCAGAGAGCUUAGCAUGCCGUUUUAAUUGUGGGUCAUUGAUGUCCACAUAAUAAAGCCCAAAGCAUGGUUCAUAGCCACCCAACAGCUCAAACACAUCUAAGAAGGACCACGUAAAAUACCCUCUUGUAUUUGAUCCAUUCCUAAUAGCAUCAAGUACACUCCCAAUGUAUCCAUGCAUAUACUUGACCCUGGAGGUAUCUUCCAAGGACGAAGUUCGUCGGGUCCGUUGCCCAUUUUCAUGAAUGUAGAUUGGAGGGUUGCCAUAAGCUUGCUUGAAGUAUUCCAGUGAAGCUUGCAUACCCGAUGGUUGUAUCGGAAACUCAUAUUUUGAACUAUCUAUAUCAGCUAUCAUCUCUACUGCCAUAUCUGCUAGAAAAUCUCUGUACUCCGACUUCAGGCUGGCGGAGUUGUCUUUUACAUGUAUUGACAUGUAAUGAUUUAUUCCCAGGAAGUCAAAUGAACCCUUAACUUGUUUGUAUUCUUGAUUCGUGAAGGUUGGUAGUCUUGAGCCUGCGUUUUUCUUUACUAUGUCCGGAUAGCUUCCAAACACCACAGGAUUAGCUAUCAAACCCACAAAAUAGUCAUUGGCUCUUUGAGUUGCAAGCACAUCCUCUGUUGAGUUUGUUAGGGGAUAAGCCGCAAAAGCAUAGAGAUUAAUCCCAACAAAUCCUAGUUGCUUGCUCUGAUACUUUUUCCGGUACAAUCUCACAGCUGAAGCAUGUGCCAAUAAGAGAUGAUGAGCGACCAAGUAUGGUUCAGACGUGGAGUUGCCUUGGGAGCAGUUGAGUCCAAAUGGAAAAGAGCAUCGAUUAGGGGGCAACAUUCCCACAUCAUAACUGAAAAGUGGAAAGACGUUGGGCUCAUUCAAAGUGGUCCAAUACAAAACUCUGUCACCAAACUCUCUGAAACACACAUCUGCAAAAGUUGUGAAGUCCUUCACAAUCUUUCUGCUAAGCCAUCCUCCAUACUCGUCUUCAAGCGCCUGCGGAUGAUCAUAAUGAUAUAUUGUAACAUGUGGCUGGAUGCCAUGGCUGAUAAGUUCAUUGAUGAGGUUGUUGUAAUAUCGUACGGCCUUUGGGUUGACGGGUCCUCUUCCAUUUGGGAUAAGUCUUGGCCAUGAGAUGGAAAAUCUAUAGGCUUCUAAUCCAGCUUCGACCAUGAGUUUGACAUCCUCCUUGUACUUGUGAUAUUCGUCAACUGAUACGUCUCCAGUUUCUCCGUCCAUUUUCCCCUCGUGAGAAAAGGUAUCCCAAAUGCUAGGACUCCUCCCAUCUUCACCUGCUGCCCCUUCCACCUGAUAAGCAGAAGUGCCAGAACCAAAAACAAAUCCAGGAGGAAAGUCCUCUCUGCUAUAUUUAUCAGCACAAAAGACAGCCCCUGCCAAAUUUAGCAAAAUAAUUGGCAGGGAAUAAACCCUUAACAUGAACAUCCUGCCUCACAAGCUUAAUCACUAUGUUAUAGUCCGAAAGAAACAGAGCAAUCCUUCGUUGCUUUCUUCCUA